RNAcentral lists this unclassified non-coding RNA (23 nucleotides) under Mus musculus (house mouse). RNAcentral describes it as "oocyte_clustered_small_RNA8259". The record is from RNAcentral. Lineage: Eukaryota; Metazoa; Chordata; Mammalia; Rodentia; Muridae.
CAUACACAAUGUCCCAGGAUUCU